Molecule: ribosomal RNA, 443 nt
Filed under: uncultured bacterium
Lineage: Bacteria
Description: partial 16S ribosomal RNA
Rfam family: Bacterial small subunit ribosomal RNA
Source: RNAcentral
CCUACGGGGUGCUGCAGUGGGGAAUAUUGGACAAUGGGGGGAACCCUGAUCCAGCGACGCCGCGUGAGUGAAGAAGUAUUUCGGUAUGUAAAGCUCUAUCAGCAGGGAAGAAAGGAAUGACGGUACCUGACUAAGAAGCCACGGCUAACUACGUGCAAGCAGCCGCGGUAAUACGUGGGGUGCAAGCGUUAUCCGGAUUUACUGGGUGUAAAGGGAGCGUAGACGGUUACGCAAGUCUGCGGUGAAAGGCGGGGGCGCAACCCCCGGAUUGCGUUGGAAACUGUAUGACUAGAGUGCAGGAGAGGUGAGUGGAAUUCCUAGUGUAGCGGUGAAAUGCGUAGAUAUUAGGAGGAACACCAGUGGCGAAGGCGGCUUACUGGACUGCAACUGACGUUGAGGCUCGAAAGCGUGGGGAGCAAACAGGAUUAGAUACCCUAGUAGUC